CAGAGGGACCGGCGAACGUCGCCGAGCGCAGCUUCUGUCAUCAUGCCGAUCACUGGUCUAAAAUCGGGACGAAGUUUUUACGCGUGGCAUUAACCCGCCGUCUCCCCCACUCCCUCCGACAACAUGGAGUACUGGAGGCAGUGUGCGAUGUGGCUGAUCAGCUGCAACGUGCUGCCGGCGAACCACCGGGUGACUGCGGACAGGGCGCAGGUGUUCGAUCUGGCGCAAACCCUGCGGGACGGGGUGCUGCUGUGCCAGCUGCUGAACAACCUGAGGCCCCAGACUAUCAACCUGAAGGAGAUCAACCUCCGGCCACAGAUGUCACAGUUCCUGUGCUUGAAGAACAUCCGCACAUUCCUGACGUCUUGCUGUGAUGUGUUUGGGAUAAAGAAGAGCGACUUAUUUGAAGCCUUUGAUCUCUUUGACGUUCGAGACUUCGGAAAGGUUAUGGACACUCUAUCCAAGCUCUCCCACACAACAAUUGCACAGCAAGCAGGAUUCAAGCCAUUUCCAACAGAGGAGAGCCUAAAAGAUGAGGAAAUCUACAAUAAUCUGGAGGACUUGAUUGAUGAAAAUGUCCUCGAGGACGAGGGCGAGGACGACUUGUACGCAGCGGUCUACGGGCUUGAAGAAGACUACGCAGGUGGGGAGAUCUAUGAAGAUCUCAUGAGGACCGAGCAGCCUCCCCCACUGAAGCAGGCAGAGGUAGAUGUCCGCAGCUGCUGCCUUACAGAGAUCAAACAGACGGAGGAGAAAUACACAGAGACCCUGGAGUCCAUCGAGAAGUAUUUCCUGAAUCCUCUGAAGAAGUUCUUCUCUGCAGCUGAAAUUGACAAAGUUUUUGUCAACAUUCCAGACCUGGUUAAAGUUCACAAGAGCCUGAUGGUUGAUGUGCAGGACUCCAUCUUGAACAAAAAUGCCUUAAAUCUCUACCAGAUUUUUAUCAGAUACAAAGAGAGACUGCUCAUUUAUGGGAUAUACUGCAGUCGGGUGGAGAUCGCCAUCGCUGUUUUAGACCUCAUUUGCAAAGAGAAAGAGGAUGUUCGCCUGAAGCUGGAGGAGUGUUCCAAAAGGGCCAACAAUGGGAAGUUUACACUGAGGGACCUGCUGGUUGUCCCGAUGCAGAGAGUCCUCAAGUACCAUCUCCUUCUUCAGGAGCUAGUCAAACACACUCACGAUGCUGCUGACAAGAGCAACUUGAAGAUUGCUCUUGAUGCCAUGAAAGACCUGGCUCAGUAUGUCAACGAGGUGAAGAGAGAUAAUGAGACUCUAAGGGAGAUCGACCAGUACCAGAGGUCUAUCGAAAACUUGAAUCAGCCUCUAAUCACCUUUGGUCGCCCGAAAGGAGACGGAGAGGUGCGCAUGAUCUCCAGUGUCGACAGGAGGAGACAAGACAGACACAUCUUUUUAUUUGAUGUGGCUGUCAUUGUUUGUAAGAGACGCGGCGACAACUAUGAGAUGAAGGACAUACUCGACCUCAACUACUUCAAGAUCACAAACAACCCCACCUCUGACAGAGAGGGCAAAAAGUGGUGCUACGGUUUCUACGUGACUCACCAGCAGGGGUACACAGGCUUUGAACUCUUCUUUAAGACCAGAGAGCUGAAGAAGAAGUGGCUGGAUCAAUUUGAAAUGGCCAUAUCAAAUAUCCGACCAGAAAAAGCCAACCACAACUCCCACCAGUUCAAGAUACACACAUUUGAAAGGAUCACUUCGUGUAACUUCUGUCACCUCCUGCUCAGGGGCAUCUUUAACCAGGGUUAUCUCUGUGUAAAAUGUGGGCUAGGGGCUCAUAAGGAGUGUCUGGGUCGACUGGGAGUGUGUGGGAGAACAGAUUCUGCCAAGCCGAGACCCAAGGAAAACACAGCACCACCAGACCCAGGUUUACCCAGGAUGGUUGUGAUCAGAGACUACAGUGGCAUCCCCCAUCCCCAGUGCGGGCCCCCACUAAGCAUUCAUGCAGGGGAUGUCAUUGAACUGAUGUUUGCCGACCUGCACAGCUCCUGGUGGCAGGGCAAAAUUCUGGCAACAAGCAAGAUUGGCUUCUUUCCAAGUGACGCUGUGAGGCCUUGCCCAUGUGUUCCAAAACCUGUCGAUUACUCUGCCCAGCUCUGGUUUGCAGGACCUAUGGAGAGAUACCAGGCUGAGGUGGAGCUCCUGGACCGAGGAAACAGCACCUAUCUGGUUCGACACAGGAGUAAAGAAUGCACUGAGUAUGCCAUCAGUAUAAAGUAAGUGAAAUAUUCACAUAGAAUAUAUCGGUAAGACUUGUUUAACAGCAAUAUUUGAAAUAUGAGAGGGUAACAAAUAUCCCAACUGAUUCUUGAUUGUUAUUGGUCCUUAAGACAUGCGAAUAGAGUUUGUUGGCGCAGUUUUAGUGUCUGUGUAGUACGCCUUCCUGCAAGACAGUCAACAUGUUUGCCUCAAGAAACACUGAAUAAAUACUCUGAGUUGUAGCGCGUCGUUGCCUGGAAUUAAUCUAGGUAUGUUUUGUAUGAAACAAGACAGCAAGUGAUAACGCAGCUUGUUUUCAAUUUAUUUCCAUACUGAAUCUCCUACAGUUUUUCACUCAUCACAGUUUACCAAGAAUAAUGGAAUAAACAAAACACAUGCAGUCAGCAGCAGACUUGUGUGCAAAAAAACACCUUAUUGUGAGAGGCGAGUGGCAAGAAUCAUUCGAGCAAACAAAAUGCCCACAUGCAAAUAACAUCAGCAAUGGUGGAGAAUCUGACAACAAACAGCUCAUCAAAUGUUGAAGUGGGAUGAUGGGCUACAGCUCAAGGAGAUCCUGCUGUGUUCCACUCAUGCCAGCGAAGAACAAGAAGUUAUAGUGACUAUAUAAACAUCAGCAGUCUGUAACUGAAGAAUGGAAAAAAAUUUUUUUUUUGCCUGGUCUGAUGAAUCACAGUUGACGCUGGUACAGCAGAUGGUGGGGGACUGAAUUAAGUUUAAAGGGUUGGUUCAAGCAAAUUACAAAAAAAAAACAAAACAUCUUACUUACCCCUUGUGGUAUCAAGCCAUGCGAAUAGCUUCCAGUUUUUAAGAUAUUUGUCUCAGACAUUUUCUUCACCCACAACAAUUCUUUAAGUCUCUAACAGCUGCUAUACUGAUGAGCAGAAAACACGCUAUUCCCAGCCUGCCAGCCUGCUACGCAUUACUAGUAGCUGCUGCUGAGAUAGCUCAUUUCAUGUCAGAUAAUCCUGUUAAAGGAAAUUUCCAUUAUGCCAGUCAUGUUGUGUAAAGAAACUGCACAAAUAGAGAAAGUAUUAGACCCAGUGUUAAAUGUCACCGUAUUUCUUUAAAUAAACAUCAAAGAGAUAUAUUGAUAUCUGCAAUUUAAAGUUUUAUGGUCAGAGAGACAACUACAGAAGAAGGGACCACUGUUGUCUGUUAAACUUAGAGCCCCGAAGAGUUCACAAGGUGUUGCGGUGAUCAAGCUAUGACUUUCAUAGUUUUAAAAGUUAACCACAGACCCUUCGAAGCAAGGAAAAAACUGGAGUAAGUCUUUGCUUUAACAACAAGUCAAAGUGUUUUUUUCCUAAAUUACUUUGCAAUGAAUAAAGGUGUUCUUUGAUGUUAAAGGCAUUGAUAGUUACAAACAAACAAAGGGAAAAAAAAAAAUCACCCAAACACAGAAACUUAAGUGCUACAGGGCAUGAGCCAAAUGAGUUACAGGUGCGUUGGUAGAAGCUGAGAGGGUGGGAGGGCUAUAAAAGCAGAUCAAUGAGGAGGCACUGUGAAAAGCUAUCCACUACAGGCUGCCUAGCUGCCUUCACAAUGAAAUAUAUAUGGAGAAUCAGAACUGCUCAGAAAACACCCUCUCAAAAUUACCCACAUGGAGCACCUAAUAUUAAUAUGGAUUAGUGGUGGACACAUCGUUCGUUGUCAUUUCCUCCGGUGGUUGACUCAGUCCCUACAUCUCAACUGAAUCCAGCAUAAGGAAGAGGCGGCAUUGGGUGAUCUAUUUUACCACCUAUCUAUUGUCUUAGUCAUCCAUUCAGACAUAUGUUCAAGGAAUGCCCGAUAGCUUUAAUCAUACUAUUUUGCUGUUCUUUGGCUAUCAAUCUUAGAAAUGUAUUUCAAAAGAAGGCGAGCAAAGCACUUGAAUUGUAGAUAAAACAUUCAUUCCUUUAGGCCUCAAUAAAUGUCUGCUUUAUCUGCAAGUUGAGUGCCUCCGUAUCCGUCUUUUGAAAUACAAUGCUUUCCAUUUAACUUGUGAAUAUCUCCCAGGCUACAUCAAAGCAUGUUCAGUCUUUAAAAACAAAAAAGAAAGGACUAUUGAGUCCUUCUGACCUGGCAUGACAGCGCCAAGAGAUUAUAGUGAUGAAGGGUGCACUCUGAAAUAGUGUUUGGACGUUAGGACUAUUUAGCCAGUGACACACCAUUCCAGCCCAUUUGGUCUGGUGGACUCAUACUGUCCCUCGUUCAAAGCUUUGAUGUACAAGGCCAGUUUCUGAACACUCCAAUCCUAAUUGCCUGUCUCACUGCUUAAGAUCGUUAGCAUGAUGGCCAUUUGAGAUAAUGGAGCUUUAUACAGAGAGCUCGUGCUAAUCAACUGGAACUGUCUAAUGUCAAACGCUACAAGUGGUCAGUUUGUGUACGCACUGAACGAUGUUUAUGUGUUUGUGUGAAUAUGCAGCCUUAGGAGCCUACGGGAGGAGAGGAAAGCGGAGCCUUCAAAAAACAGGGCUCAUCUGUCUCCAUGUGUUAUCCACCAUAUAACCCAACACAAAUCAAUUAUGUAUUACUUCCCAUAUAUUCAUAAUGUAUCAGAGAAUUUGCAACAUGUCCAUAUUUUUCUUAUUCGUUAUAUACUGAAUUGGGAGAUUUACAGUGUAUCUAUCUCCAGUGUAACUUGCGCAUCAUCAUAUACGAGACAUGCAGUGUACAUUCAUGUGCUUGCCAUUGGCUUGGCAGCACAUCCCCACUUGAAUGUGCAGUAUAAACUGUAUAUGUAUUUUCAGUGUUGGCCUGCAAUACUUUUCAACAGAGUACUUAGACUGAGCUAUGAUUCUCUCUUGACAUAGGAUUAUUUAAUCACUUAAUUAUUUAAUCAAGCAUGUAGCAAACUUGGGUUAGGUGAACACAUUAACUGGUGUCCUUCGGGACAGGGUUGCUAGGGAAAAGUUUUGACAUAAAAAAUUGAAACAGAAAGGGAAAGCAAAAUCCACAGAAUCAACUGCAAUAAUUCUGUAAAACCUAUUCCAAAAUAUGCAAUUAUUUUCAAAAACCAAGCUUAAUGCGUUUCUACAUUACAGUAUCUUUGUCAAAAUCUAGAGCAAUAUAGACAUGCGGGUUCUCGAUGUGUUUCUUUAUUUCGUCCACCCAAUUUAUACGAGUGAGGAUUGGCUAAAUACUGUGACAAAAAUACCUCUCUGUAUAAUGCAAUACAGCUCAGCAGCACCAGAAAACUACAAUGUCCAAAAUGAUCAUACAGUUGAAUUAGCAUCUCCAUAAAACAGUUUCAACACAAACGGAACAUUAUAACCUUAAUGAGUGUAGGAUUGAUUGCCGGGACCGUUGGAUUAGACUGCAUUAGUUUUAGCUCAGUGUACCUAACAAACUGCCAGCUAAUCAGCCAAUCACUUCUAGGUAGAACAAACGUUGUUUGUCCAUACCACUCAAAUGUUUGGGAAAGAAACCAUGAAACUAGAAUCUAAUUAAUAAAGUAGUUAUUUUACAUAAAAAGUUGUUCCUGUUGAUUUUGUGGACUUUCUUGCUCUCUUUUCGUGGGGCAUUUUGAAAAAAAAUUGUCACCAAGACAAUAAAUUAGUUUUAAAAGGAACAGAUUAUAGAUACACAGCAGUGGUUCCCUAACUGGGGGUCAUACCCGAGAGAAAUCUGAGUGGUCACAAGAUGAUUAAAGGCGGAAAAUAGAAAUACUUUUCUGUUACACAAAGAUAUGUUUUUAAAAAACUUUUUUCUGACUUUUUCUUGUUUCUUUUUUUUGUUUGUUUUUUCUUGCUUUUCUUGUUAAAUACAAGAUUCUUUUAGGUCUUAAUGCCUCUAACAAUAUUCCAAAUGAAACAGUCUAAGAAGGAAAAGCAUUGUUUGCUAUACUGUAACUGCUCACAACUUGAGUCAACAGUCAUUAGUUGUGAUGAAGGGUCACAAUUACUGUGGAUAUUACUUGAUUUUAAUGGGUUGACAAGCCAGAGAGGUUGGAAAUGGUUGUUAUACAGUAUAAAUUGAUCUUACAGGGUAAAACUGGGGAACCUGUGAUUCUUUUGUUAUUAUCUGAUGUGAGUGAAUUGGAUCUGAUUUCCGCAGCAGGGAAAAACCCAGGGUGUUCUUGUCAAACAAAGUUGCUUGGCUCAGCAUGGCAACCGACAGUGAGUGCAGACAGACCUUCGUGACAGUUCACCAUAGCGACUGGACUGAUGUGGAACCAUGUAUAGUUGAUUAGCAGCCCAUGUCUUAUUCAUUCUCCACAGGUUCAACGAUAAAAUCAAGCACAUUAAGAUUCUGACCAAGGAUGGCUGCUUUUACAUUGCUGAGAGUCGGCUGUUCAAGACUA
RNA transcript from Xiphias gladius (swordfish), 6517 nucleotides. It is a transcript of the gene named guanine nucleotide exchange factor VAV3-like, with no coding region annotated. NCBI's taxonomy places the organism in Eukaryota, Metazoa, Chordata, Actinopteri, Istiophoriformes, Xiphiidae. The transcript is spliced from 24 exons. The record is from RefSeq and is a predicted model, not a curated record.